This 334-nucleotide unclassified non-coding RNA is filed under the name soil metagenome. RNAcentral describes it as "partial contains 5.8S ribosomal RNA, internal transcribed spacer 2, and large subunit ribosomal RNA". The stretch from base 1 to 120 matches the Rfam family "5.8S ribosomal RNA", at positions 35 to 154 of the family's 154-position model. The record is from RNAcentral.
GUUGAAGAACGUAGCGAAAUGCGAUAAGUAGUGUGAAUUGCAGAAUUCAGUGAAUCAUCGAAUCUUUGAACGCACAUUGCGCCCGCCAGCACUCUGGCGGGCAUGCCUGUUCGAGCGUCAUUUCAACCAUCAAGCCCCAGGCUUGCGUUGGAGCCCUGCGGCUGCCGCAGCCUCCUAAAAGCAGUGGCGGGCUCGCUAUCACACCGAGUGCAGUAGAUUACUCUUCGCUCAGGGCGUGCAGCGGGUUCCGGCCGUGAAACCCCCUACUUUUAAAGGUUGACCUCGGAUCAGGUAGGAAUACCCGCUGAACUUAAGCAUAUCAAUAAGCGGAGGA